CAGUAGCCGCGGUAAUACAGAGGAUGCAAGCGUUAUCCGGAAUGAUUGGGCAUAAAGUGUCUGUAGGUGGCUUUUCAAGUCCGCCGUCAAAUCCCAGGGCUCAACCGAGGACAGGCGGUGGAAACUACCAAGCUGGAGUAUGGUAGGGGCAGAGGGAAUUUCCGGUGGAGCGGUGAAAUGCGUUGAGAUCGGAAAGAACACCAACAGCGAAAUCACUCUGCUAGGCCGACACUGACACUGAGAGACGAAAUCUAGGGGAGCAAAUGGGAUUAGAGACCCGCGUAGUCCCUGUCUCUUAUAC
This 301-nucleotide ribosomal RNA is filed under the name uncultured bacterium. Its description in RNAcentral is "partial 16S ribosomal RNA". It matches the Rfam family "Bacterial small subunit ribosomal RNA", at positions 509 to 807 of the family's 1533-position model. The record is from RNAcentral.